RNAcentral lists this ribosomal RNA (381 nucleotides) under uncultured bacterium. RNAcentral describes it as "bacterial SSU rRNA". It matches the Rfam family "Archaeal small subunit ribosomal RNA", at positions 473 to 853 of the family's 1478-position model. The record is from RNAcentral. RNAcentral also lists the same sequence under 1 other name.
AUACCGGCGGCUCGAGUGGUGACCACUUUUAUUGGGCUUAAAGCGUUCGUAGCUGGACUCUUAAGUCUCUUGGGAAAUCCCGCGGCUCAACCGUGGGGCGUUUAAGAGAUACUGGGAGUCUAGGAACCGGGAGAGGUAAGAGGUACUUCGGGGGUAGGAGUGAAAUCCUGUAAUCCUUGAGGGACCACCUGUGGCGAAGGCGCCUCACCAGAACGGCUUCGACAGUGAGGGACGAAAGCUGGGGGAGCAAACCGGAUUAGAUACCCGGGUAGUCCCAGCCGUAAACGAUGCGCGUUAGGUGUACUGGUGACCACGAGUCACUGGGGUGCCGAAGGGAAACCGUGAAACGUGCCGCCUGGGAAGUACGGUCGCAAGGCUGAA